Oncorhynchus tshawytscha (Chinook salmon) is the source of this 931-nucleotide long non-coding RNA. NCBI's taxonomy places the organism in Eukaryota, Metazoa, Chordata, Actinopteri, Salmoniformes, Salmonidae. The record is from Ensembl.
UAUACAUGUGUUGACCCUCCACUACACCACUGGCUCAGACAGUAGAGUGGAGGGCAGCUACUGACAGGGUGUAUAUAUACAUGUGUUGACCCUCCACUACACCACUGGCUCAGACAGUAGAGUGGAGGGCAGCUACUGACAGGGUGUAUAUAUACAUGUGUUGACCCUCCACUACACCACUGGCUCAGACAGUAGAGUGGAGGGCAGCUACUGACAGGGUGUAUAUAUAUAUAUAUAUACAGUAUAUAUGUAUUUAUAUAUUAGAGGAUAUAUGUAAUGUACAGUUCUAAUACAUUGUCUCUGUAUGAGCUGUAGGACAGGAUAGGACAGCUAGGGAGAGACGAGAUGCUUGGUGUGGCUUGCUGUGAGGCUUGGUUUGGUGGGCUGGGCGGCUUGGUUUGGUGGGCUGGGCGGCUUGUGCGCUGGGCUGGGUGGCUUGGUUUGUAGGGUCUGGGCUUAGUGGCUGGGUGUCUUGGUUGGUGUUUGGGGGGUCUCGGCCCUCAGUCUUUCCAGGGUUCCGAGUGGUGGUGGGUCAGAUGAGGUCAGAGGGUCCUGAAGAACACAGGCCAUGAAGAUAAACAGAGAGGGGAGAGAGAAACAGAGAGGAGAGAGACAGAGAUAAACAGAGAGGAGAGAGAAACAGAAGAGACAGAGAGAAACAGAGAGGAGAGAGACAGAGAUAAACAGAGAGGGGAGAGAGAAACAGAGAGGAGAGAGACAGAGAUAAACAGAGAGGAGAGAGACAGAGAUAAACAGAGUGGGGAGAGAGAAACAGAGAGGAGAGAGACAGAGAUAAACAGAGAGGAGAGAGACAGAGAUAAACAGAGAGGAGAGAGAAACAGAGAGGAGAGAGACAGAGAUAAACAGAAGAGAGAAACAGAGAGGAGAGAGACAGAGAUAAACAGAGUGGGGAGAGAGAAACAGAGAGGGG